This 72-nucleotide transfer RNA is filed under the name Bos indicus x Bos taurus (hybrid cattle). It matches the Rfam family "tRNA". Rfam says of the family: Transfer RNA (tRNA) molecules are approximately 80 nucleotides in length. Their secondary structure includes four short double-helical elements and three loops (D, anti-codon, and T loops). Further hydrogen bonds mediate the characteristic L-shaped molecular structure. tRNAs have two regions of fundamental functional importance: the anti-codon, which is responsible for specific mRNA codon recognition, and the 3' end, to which the tRNAs corresponding amino acid is attached (by aminoacyl-tRNA synthetases). tRNAs cope with the degeneracy of the genetic code in two manners: having more than one tRNA (with a specific anti-codon) for a particular amino acid; and 'wobble' base-pairing, i.e. permitting non-standard base-pairing at the 3rd anti-codon position. The record is from Rfam by way of RNAcentral. Lineage: Eukaryota; Metazoa; Chordata; Mammalia; Artiodactyla; Bovidae.
UCCCUGGUGGCUCAGAUGGUAAAGCAUCUGCCUGCAAUGCAGGAGACCUGGGUUUGAUUUCUCUGUCAGGAA